UAGGGAAUCUUCGGCAAUGGGGGGAACCCUGACCGAGCAACGCCGCGUGAGUGAAGAAGGUUUUCGGAUCGUAAAGCUCUGUUGUUAAGGAAGAACGAGUGUGAGAAUGGAAAGUUCAUACUGUGACGGUACUUAACCAGAAAGGGACGGCUAACUACGUGCCAGCAGCCGCGGUAAUACGUAGGUCCCGAGCGUUGUCCGGAUUUAUUGGGCGAAAAGCGAGCGCAGGCGGUUAGAUAAGUCUGAAGUUAAAGGCAGUGGCUCAACCAUGGUAGGCUUUGGAAGCUGUUUAACUUGAGUGCAGAAGGGGAGAGUGGACUUCCAUGUGUAGCGGUGAGAUGCGUAGAUAUAUGGAGAAACACCGGUGGCGAAAGCGGCUCUCUGAUCUGUAACUGACGCAGAGGCUAGAAAGCGUGGGGAGCGAACGGG
RNAcentral lists this ribosomal RNA (429 nucleotides) under Bacteroidota bacterium. Its description in RNAcentral is "Bacteroidetes bacterium partial 16S ribosomal RNA". It matches the Rfam family "Bacterial small subunit ribosomal RNA", at positions 355 to 776 of the family's 1533-position model. The record is from RNAcentral. Lineage: Bacteria; Pseudomonadati; Bacteroidota.